Molecule: long non-coding RNA, 758 nt
Organism: Solanum stenotomum
Lineage: Eukaryota; Viridiplantae; Streptophyta; Magnoliopsida; Solanales; Solanaceae
Exons: 6
Source: RefSeq, a predicted model, not a curated record
AAAUUCCAAUUUCUCUAGCAUUCAUUUUCUACUCUCAACGUCAAAAUUCAGCACAAGAUUAUCAAAGAAUUGAGUUGAAGAUUUGAAGAAAAAAAUUCUAAGAGGCUAAAGAUGGAAGAAUAUGAGGCUGCUUGUAUAAGGUCUUGAUGUUUUCGUGAAGACCACAAAUAAAGGAGGCUGAUAAUAACUAGCAAGGCUAUUCCUCGAAGUAAAUACAUCACAUGAUAGUACCAAGCAAGCAGUUGGCACUUAGCUGCGGAGAAGAACAGGACAAUUUUGUUUGGCCAAUUGAAGUUCCCUUAAUUGGAAGAUUUUGUCUACCAAAGAGUCGUUGCAGUGUAGAGACAGUAAGAAAAUGUCAGCUUGUCUAUUAUGCCUACAAUUACAAGAAAGUAGACGAACGAGGCUUCAAGCACAAUGAUACAAAUUCAUAGUUUUGACUACAAGUCGGAGAGGAAAGAGUUGGAAGAAAGAACUAGAAAAGCUAAUGUGAAAACAAGUCAUUCAGAAGAUCUCGUUUCGGACAUGGAGCUCACUCUCUUGCAAGUGCUCGUGUAGCUCCCUCUCCUUGAUCUCAAAUUCUACCAGGGAGCAUCGUCAAUUGAGCAUAAGAGAAAUUCUAAUGACGUAUUUAUCGUGGCAUUUAUACUUCGAAAACUUUUUUGUAUUUAUAAAAAUAGUUUGACAAUAUUACUAUAGUUUAUGCCCUUUUAUUGUAUAGCAACAAUAUUUGUUUAUGAUAAUCAAACUACAAAAGA